GAUGAACGCUAGCGGCAGGCCUAAUACAUGCAAGUCGAACGAGAUUAACAGGCUUGCUUCUUAUGAAAGUGGCGCCCGGGUGCGUAACGCGUAUGCAACCUACCUUAAUCAGGGGGAUAGCUCGAAGAAAUUCGGAUUAAGACCGCAUCAAAACACAGGAUAGCAUUAUUCAAUGUUCAAAUAUUUAUCGGAUUAAGAUGGGCAUGCGUGUCAUUAGCUAGUUGGCGGGGGAACUACCAACCAAGGCGAGGACGACGAGGGGAUCUGAAAGGAUGAUCGCCCGCACGGGAACAGAGACACGGACCAGAGGACUAAGAGAGGCAGCAGUAAGGAAUAGGAGGCAAUGGAGGGAACUCUGAACCAGCGAGGCCGAGUGCAGGAAAGCAGCGCUCUGGGUCGGAAACAGCUUUUAUGGGGGAAUAGACCUUUUUACGGGGAGGAAGCUGAAAGUACCGAAGGAAUAAGGAUCGGCUAACUCCGUG
RNAcentral lists this ribosomal RNA (482 nucleotides) under uncultured bacterium. RNAcentral's name for it is "partial 16S ribosomal RNA". It matches the Rfam family "Bacterial small subunit ribosomal RNA", at positions 28 to 507 of the family's 1533-position model. The record is from RNAcentral.